CCUACGGGAGACAGCAGUGAGGAAUAUUGGUCAAUGGACGAGAGUCUGAACCAGCCACGUAGCGUGAAGGAUGACUGCUCUAUGGGUUGUAAACUUCUUUUAUAAAGGAAUAAAACGAGGCACGUGUGCCUUUUUGCAUGUACUUUAUGAAUAAGGAUCGGCUAACUCCGUGCCAGCAGCCGCGGUAAUACGGAGGAUCCGAGCGUUAUCCGGAUUUAUUGGGUUUAAAGGGAGCGUAGAUGGGUUGUUAAGUCAGUUGUGAAAGUUUGCGGCUCAACCGUAAAAUUGCAAUUGAUACUGGCAGUCGUGAGUACAGUUGAGGUAGGCGGAAUUCGUGGUGUAGCGGUGAAAUGCUUAGAUAUCACGAAGAACCCCGAUUGCGAAGGCAGCUUACUAAACUGUGACUGACAUUGAUGCUCGAAAGUGUGGGUAUCAAACAGGAUUAGAUACCCCUGUAGUC
Molecule: ribosomal RNA, 460 nt
Filed under: uncultured bacterium
Lineage: Bacteria
Description: partial 16S ribosomal RNA
Rfam family: Bacterial small subunit ribosomal RNA
Source: RNAcentral